This 6668-nucleotide long non-coding RNA is filed under the name Lynx pardinus (Iberian lynx). The record is from RNAcentral. Lineage: Eukaryota; Metazoa; Chordata; Mammalia; Carnivora; Felidae.
GGUGGAAUCUGCUUUUAGAAGAGGCAAUCUGGUUUAGGGGAAGAAGAUGCAGACGUUCGUACGGGGCAGACCUGGGUGUGGGUCCUUCUUUGGGUUUGCUGCUUAGUGGUUAGGAGGUCUGGAAUGACUUAUUUAGUGUCACUGGGCGUUAGUCUUUCAUCUGUAAAAAUGGGACACUAAAACACACCUCACAGAGUAGUAGAGAGGUUUAUAUAUAAUACAGGUGAGGUGUGUGGACCACAAGAAGCGCUCAGCAAAUGGUAACGGCUGUUACCAUAGAUGGUUGUCAGCGGACCCACAACUAGCACUUGGGGAACCACAUGUUGGUCAUCUGCUACCCAGACUAUAAUUCUCCCUCGUAGAACAGAUACGUAAUUUUAGUCCACCAGUUACGGCGGGGUGACAGCUCAGAUAUACAGCCUCCGAUUCAAGUGACACUCAGCAGGGCGCGUUCGGGGAGGGCAUUCGCAUCCAGAUCCGCCAUGACUCAGGUAUCCGUUGCUGGCUUCUGUUCGGGCCAGGAGGCUGUCCACCAACACGCACUGACAUGGGCCCGAAGGUGUUUUCCCAGAACGUAAGCAUCUAAUCAAUGACCGUGUAUGUAUUUUCACUGCUGAAAGAAAGCACCGUUGGCCCUUUUUAAAGUGCUGGCAAGCGUUUUUGUGACAGGAAGCAGAGGCUCCUGUGUGGAAGACCGCUCCGGCCUUGAUUUCUGGGCUGUGUGCACGCGUGCGCCCGUGCGCCCGUUUCUUCUUCUGCAGGGAUGCACGGGACUUUUGUGUCACUCUCCAAAACAGAACUCCAAAGUAGGUCGGUAAAGGAGCAGUGAAAUAGGUCAGUUGCCGUAAAUCGAAGCAGAAGAAGGGGGUGGGGUUCAGCUCCAGAGAGGGUGCAUGUUUAGACCCUUGAUGCCUGUUUCUCUUAAGGCCUGAAGGACCGCCCUUUAGGGGGUGGGAGGGUGACACUGACACUCUGUUGUCCCAUUGCUUUCUUUCUCCAGGAUGGUCACCUCUAGGAUGGAGACCGUGGUCGCGGGUCAUGGGGACCAAGCCGGCAGAUGGAAGCCUGAUGUCAUCAGGAUGCCUAACACAGGACGGGGGACAACAUUCUUUCGGGGGAUGAUGAAGCGGGGUACUUUCUUGCCUCCGUGAAGGUGGAUAAGCAGCUGACUUUGAGUAGCAAAACCACACUAUUGGUAACGCUUCUGGUAUUCCCAUGCAGUGCAGUUGGUCAUGGGAUCUGGUUCCACAUCACCCCCACCCAGAGUGAGGCUGCCAUUCCCCCUGUGCUGCUGGAAAUGUGCCUAGAAGGAUUAGGCUGCGGCAAUGGCUUUUCCCUGACUUUAACGGUCCCCUCUUCAAUGAUACAUUGCUUCCUCAUCACUGUGGGUCAUUUUUCCAUAUGGCACACAAGACUGUCUGCAUCCUGCCCCCAAGACAGACAGCAUUUUCCUGAAGGUGCCGGGGUUUGAUUUCCCAAUACUAGAUGUUGUAAGGUUUCUUGGCACUCUACCAGGUAGAAGGGGCUCUCUAAUGGAUUAUAAGGAAGAAAAACGAAAAACAAACACAUCAACUUUGAUUUUGUGACCACGGCCCUUCCAUGUGACUUUCUGAGUUAUUACCAGCACACAUUUCUGGUUUCGAAUUAUUCUGACUCAUGCUGUUAUUUAUUUUUUCCAUUGUUGGCAAUAGCUCUACAUAACCACAAUCUUUAUCCAUUGUCUGAUUACUAGCACAAAACAGUUUGAGGUUGUUUGGAGUUUUAAAACGGUUUGAUUUUCUCUUACAUUUAAAAACAGCACCAGAAGUAACAGACUGAGUUAAAAGUGGAAGAUUUGAGAAAAUAAAACAUGUCCUGAUACAGACUGCUAGCACUGUGGAAAUCAGUCCUAACUUGAUUUGCAAUGGUAAUGGGCCUUAACUGGACUAAUUACAGAGGUUAUUGGCGGAAUGGCUUGGGAAAGAAAUGAAAUAUUGCCUACUUAUCUUCUUGGACCUCAGCAAUAAAUAUGCUUACAUGGGAUCACUAUCCUUGAGCCUGGCCUGGCAGGCUGUAUGGAGAGCAAAAGUCUUAAAGACCCAAGUGGGAACACAGUCACACAUUGGUUCAUUUAUCCACUGAACCAGAAAUUGCUGGGCCUUCUUUUUUUUUUUUUUGCCAGGCCCUGGGCGAGGCAUGGGCAUAUCAGAUAUAAUAGUAACAGGUCAAGGGGCCCUACCUCUGAGGGGCUCCCCAUCCAGUAAGGCAGCCAGGCUCGCAUAACAAUAAUUAUGGUACAAAGUGGUAAGCCUGAUGUCAGCAGUGGAGACACAGAACGAGAGUUAAGUCUCCAUUUUGCUUGGAGUAGUAGAAAAAAACAGUGCGGAGGAAAUGGCGCCACUCUGGGCUUUGAAGGGCGGAUCAGAAAGGAGAAGGGCAUUCAGACAUUAAGAGAAGCAUGGACAGCCAAGAAGUGUUAAACACUUUGAAAACGUCCAGUGGUCCCACGUGGCUAAAGGAUGGGGCCGGGGAGGGGGUGGGGGGAGGAGGGAGAUGAGGUUGGGAACUCUGGCGGUUCUCAAAUCCCAAAAGGCCUUGAGUAUCCCGCGAAGGAGGUUUGAUGUGUUACUAAAGGCCAUGAGGACUCAGCGAAGUUUUGUCUGAUUUUCAUCUUAAAGGUGCUUUUGCAACAGCAGGAGCUGGAAUGAGAGCAAAUCGAGCUCGAGGGGCCUGAGACUGUCAUCCAGGGGAGGCACUGUGGUUACCCGGCCCUGGGGUCAUCCAGGGGAAGCACUGUGAGCCUCAUCAGAGGUAAGCGCCAUGGUUACCUGGCCCUGGGGUCGUCCAGGGGAGGCGCCAUGGUUAUCUGGCCCUGGGGCUGGAGUGGGGGGGGGGUGGUGACGGACUCAGGAGCGAUUCCUGGGGCUGAGUGGAUGGGACUUUAUGACUAAUUGGAAGGGUGUGGUUGAGGGAGAGAGGAAGAAAGAAAGGGUUCAGCAGAGAGGAAAUGAGAUGGAGUAUCGGGGUCUGACACACCCGGCUUCCUAUCCCAGAUGCACUGCUUUUAAAUCUGACCAAGUCACUCUUCAGAGCCUCCCUCUCCUCCUUCAAAAGCAGGGUAAUGAAUAGGACUCUGGAGUCGAUGAGAUCCUGGGGGCCAGGGGGCAGAGCAGACAGAUGCAGGACAGAGGCUGUCCAUUACGACUAUGUUAGGUAGGCUCAGAGCCAUUCUGUCACACAGUUAGGGGGGCAGGAGAGUGGGGGCCGUUGUCUGUGUCCCUCGCCUCCAGCACAGGACACAGAAGGAGCUCUGGGGAUGUUUGCUUAACUACUUUUUAUUCUUCAGCUCAGCAGCCUAGGACAAAGACAGCUGAAUACCCCCUCGGGAAUAUUGCCUAAGAAUAUUAGGCGAUAUUCCUACUCAGGGCAAGGAACCUGGCAGUGUUUAUACAGGGAGGCCGGGGCGCACUUUCUCACUGAUACGGACCUAAGUUGGCAGGCUUGGGGCAGUGGGGCUGGCUGCUCCUGGACCAGGACACGGUGGUAAUGACAAAGGUCAAGUGCUGGGUAACUGCUACAAAAUUAAAGCUCCAUCAGAUCCUAGACCAGAGCUCAGUGCGGGAGGAAGAACAAUGGACCCAAGGCCCUAGAACUCUGAGUUGGCUUUUCUGCAUGAGUCCGGUGAGGAGUAGUUAAUGGGAGAAAGGCCCGCAUAGAAGGAGGCCCAUCAAAGAAGCAUAGAAAACUGAGAUCCAGGGCGCCGGCUGAAGUAGAUACAGUGAAAAGGAGGGCUGCACUGCCACAGUCAAGGGAUGCCGGGGAUGCGAUGGAGGGCCGGCCUCCCCGGUGCUGCCCGGAAUAGUUCCUCACCCCCAAAGUAGAAAAUAGUCCGGCUCCGAAGAGGAGAGACCCCACCACCGAUAAAGCCGACACAAUAAACCAGCCUCCGCUCCCCGCGGCCUCGUGCAGACCCGUCUUGGAGCUCCGUGGCCACAUUUUGCCUCCACAGUUUAAGAGAAAUCAGGAAACUGGAGAGGCUCCAAAGCAGAGCAAAAAACAUGAUUAAAGAGAGCAAGGAUAGGACCCAUGGGGCGAGUUAAAGAAAUUGGGGUUGAUUUGCCUAAAACAGUAAAGACGAAAGGGGGACUGUAUUCCAAUACAUAGAGGGGGGCCGGUGCCCAGUUAUUUUCCAAUUUCAAGAGCACAGACUAAGAGGCAAACGGCCUAAUUUGCCACAAGAGAGAUUAGGUAAAGGAGGAGUUUCAGAAACAUAUGCACGUCUUGGAAUGGCCUUCCCUGGGGUUAUUGUAAAAUAGGGCCGGCCCCUCCCUGGGAGGAAGCCUACUGGGGACUAGGCCAGACUGAUUAUGGAGGGCCUGGCUUGUCUCCAGAGGCCCCACCAAUCCCAGCUCGCCUGGCUUCUGGGAACCCAUGCAUCUUUCCAGAGCAGAAACCUGAGGAGGGAGUGGCCGCCUUGACGGGUGGGAAGCUUUUGUGCUUCUCCUGAUGGGUCCCUCCAUCCAAGAGCAGGCAUGACCUUUUCAUCUCCUUUUCUCUUUGAUGUGUUCAAGACACGUCGACAGCAAACGCCUGCAGGUUCUUAGGCAGCUGGUAAAAAAUGUAUCACAACUUCCGGAAAGUGGCUGUUUAGAUCAGAUCGCUGCCAUCUGAUUCGCAAAUACUCCGAGAAGCUGGUGAAACUCCACACCCCUGGAUGGCGUGCUCUGCUGGUCAUGGCUGUCCUGGUGGCUAUACCGUCCGUCACUGUGGCUUCAAUCACAUGUUCAACCGUCCUUCAUAGAAGGAACUGAGUCAAGCUGUAGAACCAAGCUUGUGCGCUCGCCUCCCCCUCCUGCGCCCUCUCGCCACAUAAAAGGCGUGUCAAUCUGCAGAUGGGAUGACGGUACGAUUUGUUCACAAACCGGGUCGCCUGUGACAGUAAAUGGAAGGUACUUCGACAGUCAUGCUGCUAUUUAGCUGAGGCCUAGGGCCAUCUGUCUGUAACUUGUACUCAAAGCUCAAACAAGGGAGGUGCCCUUCAUAGUGAAAUCCUUUCUAGUGGAAAUGGAAUGUUUGCUUUGUGAAACGCCGAUUAACUACUACUGCUCAGCAAACCACCCUCCCCUCCCGCCCCCCCUCCCCAAUAAGUGGCUCAAAACAAUAAACGUCCAUUAUCUCGUGCAGUGUCUGUGGCUGAGGGUGGCUGGGCCGUGGGGUCCCUCAGAUACUGCCCUGGGCCUGCCAUCAUUGAAAAAUUUGACUGGGCUGGAAGAUGGCUUCCAUGAAGGCUCAUUCACGUGGCUGAUGACAGGAGACCUCCCUAUCCUAUCUCAGUUCUUCCCCGUUGGACUGCUGGAAAGUCCUCGUGACAGCUGGUUUUCUUCGGAGCGAGCGACCUGAGUCACUCCAGCCUUUCAUGCUACAGUCUCAGUCCUGCACGGGCACUUGGGCCAUAUUUUAUUCAUUAGAACGAAUCUCCAAGCCCAGCCCACACGAAAAGGGAAGGGGAUUAAGCUUUAUUUCUUGAAUGAAGGAGGACCUUCAAAUAUUUGGUCAUUCUCGUGAGUUUGUGUUUAUUUUUGAGAUUCUGUUUACCUUUUCUUGAGUGCCGUCUUUUUAUUCACCCUGGCCCAGUGACAGUGGGAAGGGACAGCGGUGGGGGUGGAGGGGGACGUCUCAGCAGCUGGCAUUCUGGCCAUGGGGUGGCUCUCUGUUCCUCCUGGAUAUUGUCAGUCACUUGGGGUACUUAAAAUGGUCUCUCUUGAGUAAUGAGGAAUGAGUUCGCCGUCACAGUAGGUAUACAAGGAAGUCGUGGAUGGUCGGUUGGGCACUGCAGUUGAGUGUAGAUGGGGGUGGAGGGAGCUGGUCCAAAUGACCUUCCAUGUCCCUUCUGACCCGGAGCCCUCUCGAGUCCCUGAUCCCCCCCCCCCCCCCCCACCAAAGCAUUCUUUGUUCAGUGCUCUUGAGUGAGACUGGAGCAGCCUCUUGAGGUGGGGCAUGGGUUCUGGAAGCAAGACCUAUGAAAAGCAAACAGACUCCACGUUAUCGCAGACAGAGAGUCAUGAGUUUCAAGCCCCCGCCACGAGAUGGAAUUAAAAAGGUUUCCAAGAAUCUUAAUCGUGGGGUGACUGUGUUUGUUUACUUUUGCAGCAAGCCUGGGGAGCUGUGCUUGGAUAGAUAAAAGCUGUUCUGUAAGCCUGUGUCUGAAGCUCCAUCAACAGGUCGAGCUGCGAGGAGGCUGACCCUUCACAGAAGUCAGAGUGGCGACCUGUAAAAUCCUGGCUUAGGAAAAUCUGCCUCCAUUGCUCAUCGGCUUUACUCAGAGCGGUUUGAACUAAAUGUGAGCUUGGGUAAGGAAUAAGUGCCCUGUUCAUGAAUGCCCAGGCUGUUAAACAAAAAUAGCACACAGGAAACGGUAUUGCAAAGGUCAGUUCUUCUGGAAAGGAAGGGACAAGAAACCAUCUAUCUGAAAUUUUAAUGAGCAGAUCCUGGCCUCUGACCCCGUACCCUGACCUAACAAUCCAAUACUGGAUGCCACGUCGGUUUCCAUUUCCUGUGAACGAGGAGGCAGAGUUCCCAUCCAAAGGCCAACCAUCUGCCGGACGUAAGAUUCUGUCUGCCUAGCUGGCUGUUAUGGAUGGGCACGGAGUCUUUAUGGAUAGAGUGUCAGUCCAGACGCCUUGCUUCAC